RNAcentral lists this ribosomal RNA (468 nucleotides) under uncultured bacterium. Its description in RNAcentral is "partial 16S ribosomal RNA". It matches the Rfam family "Bacterial small subunit ribosomal RNA", at positions 28 to 507 of the family's 1533-position model. The record is from RNAcentral.
GACGAACGCUGGCGGCGUGCUUAACACAUGCAAGUCGAACGGAAAGGCCCUGCUUUUGUGGGAUGCUCGAGUGGCGAACGGGUGUGUAACACGUGAGUAACCUGCCCUUGACUGUGGGAUAACUUCAGGAAACUGGGGCUAAUACCGGAUAGGCGCUCCUGCUGCAUGGUGGGGGUUGGAAAGUUUCGGCGGUUGGGGAUGGGCUCGCGGCUUAUCAGCUUGUUGGUGGGGUAGUGGCUUACCAAGGCUUUGGCGGGUAGCCGGCCUGAGAGGGUGACCGGCAACAUUGGGACGGGGUUACGGCCCGGACUCCACCGGGAGGCAGCAGUGGGGAAUAUUGCACAAUGGGCGGAAGCCUGAUGCAGCAACGCCGCGUGCGGGAUGACGGCCUUCGGGUUGUAAACCGUUUUCGCCUGUGACGAAGCGUGAGUGACGGUAAUGGGUAAAGAAGCACCGGCUAACUACGUG